This 468-nucleotide ribosomal RNA is filed under the name uncultured bacterium. RNAcentral describes it as "partial 16S ribosomal RNA". It matches the Rfam family "Bacterial small subunit ribosomal RNA", at positions 28 to 507 of the family's 1533-position model. The record is from RNAcentral.
GACGAACGCUGGCGGCGUGCUUAACACAUGCAAGUCGAACGGAAAGGCCCUGCUUUUGUGGGGUGCUCGAGUGGCGAACGGGUGAGUAACACGUGAGUAACCUGCCCUUGACUUUGGGAUAACUUCAGGAAACUGGGGCUAAUACCGGAUAGGAGCUCCUGCUGCAUGGUGGGGGUUGGAAAGUUUCGGCGGUUGGGGAUGGACUCGCGGCUUAUCAGCUUGUUGGUGGGGUAGUGGCUUACCAAGGCUUUGACGGGUAGCCGGCCUGAGAGGGUGACCGGCCACAUUGGGACUGAGAUACGGACCAGACGCCUACGGGAGGCAGCAGGGGGGAAUAUUGCACAAUGGGCGGAAGCCUGAUGCAGCAACGCCGCGUGCGGGAUGACGGCCUUCGGGUUGUAAACCGCUUUCGCCUGUGACGAAGCGUGAGUGACGGUAAUGGGUAAAGAAGCACCGGCUAACUACGUG